This 85-nucleotide transfer RNA is filed under the name Candidatus Dormiibacterota bacterium. RNAcentral describes it as "tRNA-Leu". It matches the Rfam family "tRNA". Rfam says of the family: Transfer RNA (tRNA) molecules are approximately 80 nucleotides in length. The record is from RNAcentral. RNAcentral also lists the same sequence under 3 other names. Lineage: Bacteria; Bacillati; Candidatus Dormiibacterota.
GGGCGGCUGGCGGAACAGGUAGACGCGCACGUUUGAGGGGCGUGUGGGGAGACCCAUCCGGGUUCGAGUCCCGGGCCGCCCACCA